This is a long non-coding RNA of Pectinophora gossypiella (pink bollworm), 706 nucleotides long. RefSeq lists it as uncharacterized. The record is from RefSeq and is a predicted model, not a curated record. The transcript has 3 exons. Lineage: Eukaryota; Metazoa; Arthropoda; Insecta; Lepidoptera; Gelechiidae.
UGUUUCUCACCCAGUUCGAAACCUCUCGUGGGUAGGGGGGUAUUGUAACGAAGCAUUUCGGACCAACGAGCCUUGUAGCGACAUCUUGUGGUUUCUGGCGAUAUAACAUUGUUUUUAUAUUUUACCCGCAGGAAAUCACAGAUGGCGCUGCAGGGUUAUCGAUGGGCCCGAAUAUUUUUAAUUAUUUUAUUUUCUUCAAAAUUUGGUAUAUUAAAAUUAUCUGCAACAUUUAUUUUUGAUAUAUUAUAAUUAUAUUGUUUAAAUUUUGGGAUCAAACAAGUCGAUCGAUUGUUGUCGUUGAUUCGGCGAAUUUAUGGUUUGGUAGAUUUUAUUUUGGUUGGCAACAUUGUUGGUUCGUGUGUCAGACUGACAGCUGGCUCAGCUGAGAGACAGGUUUUGGAAAGUGGGGACGUCGCGAGAGCGCCGGAGACUCCACUGCCGUAACUAUAAUGUGGGCAAAUUAAAAGCCACGAUUUAUCGGCGACAUCAAGAGCCGAUGUCUCGAUUUAAAUAAACAACUUAACCGAGAUGCAACUUCACUGAAAUCCCAUCGCCGAAGGUCCAGUGGGUGGGUUUAGGUUUCAUCCGAGCGAUGCCCAACUAUCCCGGAUGAACCUGUAAGUUAUUUUCUUUGUUUUACACUCGUGAGUUGCCUUGCCACGCUGUCAGCUGAACCACAUGCUAAUCAUUGCCAUUCCUUGUUGCA